GACGAACCGUGCGAACGUUGUUCGGAAUCACUGGGCUUAAAGGGCGCGUAGGCGGCCCGCCGAGUCCGGGGUGAAAGCCCCCGGCCCAACCGGGGAAGGGCCUCGGAUACCGGCGGGCUCGAGGGGGGUAGGGGCGGACGGAACUUCCGGUGGAGCGGUGAAAUGCGUUGAUAUCGGAAGGAACGCCGGUGGCGAAAGCGGUCCGCUGGACCUCAUACUGACGCUGAGGCGCGAAAGCCAGGGGAGCGAACGGG
This 254-nucleotide ribosomal RNA is filed under the name uncultured bacterium. RNAcentral describes it as "partial 16S ribosomal RNA". It matches the Rfam family "Bacterial small subunit ribosomal RNA", at positions 524 to 776 of the family's 1533-position model. The record is from RNAcentral.